GGUGGAAGAAGACCAUCAAUGGACCAUAUGCAGGAUGCUCGUCUCUACCUAACCUCUGGGAAGAUCUGAGACUGGUACCUCCUAUGGCCCUAAUUAAGCUCUCCCCCCAGGUGAGGAGGUGUGUUUUACCUUGGAGAACAUGAAUCCACCCAUGAACCAGACUGGACACCCUCAUCACCAGAUCUUGGAAAAGACUCAAGGCCAACACAGCAAGUUCAAAUUCAAUCAGAGUGGUUGAGUACCCCAUAACAUUCUUGCCACU
Molecule: ribozyme, 262 nt
Organism: Mesocricetus auratus (golden hamster)
Lineage: Eukaryota; Metazoa; Chordata; Mammalia; Rodentia; Cricetidae
Rfam family: Nuclear RNase P
About the family: Ribonuclease P (RNase P) is a ubiquitous endoribonuclease, found in archaea, bacteria and eukarya as well as chloroplasts and mitochondria. Its best characterised activity is the generation of mature 5'-ends of tRNAs by cleaving the 5'-leader elements of precursor-tRNAs. Cellular RNase Ps are ribonucleoproteins.
Source: Ensembl